CGUGUGCUUACAAGUAGUCAGAGCCCGUUAAUGGGUGAUGGCGUGCCUUUUGUAGAAUGAACCGGCGAGUUACGAUUUGAUGCAAGGUUAAGCAGUAAAUGUGGAGCCGUAGCGAAAGCGAGUCUGAAUAGGGCGUUUAGUAUUUGGUCGUAGACCCGAAACCAGGUGAUCUACCCUUGGUCAGGUUGAAGUUCAGGUAACACUGAAUGGAGGACCGAACCGACUUACGUUGAAAAGUGAGCGGAUGAACUGAGGGUAGCGGAGAAAUUCCAAUCGAACCUGGAGAUAGCUGGUUCUCUCCGAAAUAGCUUUAGGGCUAGCCUCAAGUGAUGAUUAUUGGAGGUAGAGCACUGUUUGGACGAGGGGCCCCUCUCGGGUUACCGAAUUCAGACAAACUCCGAAUGCCAAUUAAUUUAACUUGGGAGUCAGAACAUGGGUGAUAAGGUCCGUGUUCGAAAGGGAAACAGCCCAGACCACCAGCUAAGGUCCCAAAAUAUAUGUUAAGUGGAAAAGGAUGUGGCGUUGCCCAGACAACUAGGAUGUUGGCUUAGAAGCAGCCAUC
RNAcentral lists this ribosomal RNA (562 nucleotides) under Staphylococcus aureus. Its description in RNAcentral is "partial 23S ribosomal RNA". It matches the Rfam family "Bacterial large subunit ribosomal RNA", at positions 557 to 1120 of the family's 2925-position model. Lineage: Bacteria; Bacillati; Bacillota; Bacilli; Caryophanales; Staphylococcaceae. The record is from RNAcentral.